GGGGGAUUAGUGGCGAACGGGUGAGUAACACGUGAGUAACCUGCCCUUAACUCUGGGAUAAGCCUGGGAAACUGGGUCUAAUACCGGAUAUGACUCCUCAUCGCAUGGUGGGGGGUGGAAAGCUUUUGUGGUUUUGGAUGGACUCGCGGCCUAUCAGCUUGUUGGUGAGGUAAUGGCUCACCAAGGCGACGACGGGUAGCCGGCCUGAGAGGGUGACCGGCCACACUGGGACUGAGACACGGCCCAGACUCCUACGGGAGGCAGCAGUGGGGAAUAUUGCACAAUGGGCGCAAGCCUGAUGCAGCGACGCCGCGUGAGGGAUGACGGCCUUCGGGUUGUAAACCUCUUUCAGUAGGGAAGAAGCGAAAGUGACGGUACCUGCAGAAGAAGCGCCGGCUAACUACGUGCCAGCAGCCGCGGUAAUACGUAGGGCGCAAGCGUUAUCCGGAAUUAUUGGGCGUAAAGAGCUCGUAGGCGGUUUGUCGCGUCUGCCGUGAAAGUCCGGGGCUCAACUCCGGAUCUGCGGUGGGUACGGGCAGACUAGAGUGAUGUAGGGGAGACUGGAAUUCCUGGUGUAGCGGUGAAAUGCGUAG
RNAcentral lists this ribosomal RNA (593 nucleotides) under Arthrobacter pascens. RNAcentral describes it as "bacterial SSU rRNA". It matches the Rfam family "Bacterial small subunit ribosomal RNA", at positions 86 to 693 of the family's 1533-position model. Lineage: Bacteria; Bacillati; Actinomycetota; Actinomycetes; Micrococcales; Micrococcaceae. The record is from RNAcentral.